This 340-nucleotide RNase P RNA is filed under the name human gut metagenome. RNAcentral's name for it is "Bacterial RNase P class B". It matches the Rfam family "Bacterial RNase P class B". Rfam says of the family: Ribonuclease P (RNase P) is a ubiquitous endoribonuclease, found in archaea, bacteria and eukarya as well as chloroplasts and mitochondria. Its best characterised activity is the generation of mature 5'-ends of tRNAs by cleaving the 5'-leader elements of precursor-tRNAs. Cellular RNase Ps are ribonucleoproteins. The record is from RNAcentral.
UGGCAGUCGCUGGCUGAUAUCAGCUAGAGGAAAGUCCAUGCUCGCACCGUCUGUGAUGACGGUAGUGUUUGCGCUGGAUCAAACGAUAAGUCCAGGCAGGCGAAAGCCUGACGGCCGAAGUUAUCCUAAGGUGAUUCACUAAGGAAACACUUCUGUAAAAGUGCCACAGAGACGAGCUGCAUGGGAAACUGUGCAGAUGGAACGGGUAAACCCCGCAAGCGAGAAACCCAAAUUUGGUAGGGGAACCUGGAGGAUUGAACCGAAAAGAACUCCGGGACAUAGCAAUAUGUAGAUAAAUGGCUGCCACUUCCUGAGCGGGAAGUACAGAACAUGGCUUAUA